RNAcentral lists this transfer RNA (68 nucleotides) under Ceriagrion fallax. Its description in RNAcentral is "tRNA-Tyr". It matches the Rfam family "tRNA". Rfam says of the family: Transfer RNA (tRNA) molecules are approximately 80 nucleotides in length. Their secondary structure includes four short double-helical elements and three loops (D, anti-codon, and T loops). The record is from RNAcentral. Lineage: Eukaryota; Metazoa; Arthropoda; Insecta; Odonata; Coenagrionidae.
AGUAAGAUGGUUGAGAAUUAGACAAUAGACUGUAAAUCUAUUUACGAGGAAUAUACCCUCUCUUGCUA